GCAAUUUGUUAAGUUGGUUAGAGCACCCGUUUAGUAAAUGGGAGGUCUUGAGUUCAACUCUCAAUAAAAGCA
Molecule: transfer RNA, 72 nt
Organism: Lupinus angustifolius (narrow-leaved blue lupine)
Lineage: Eukaryota; Viridiplantae; Streptophyta; Magnoliopsida; Fabales; Fabaceae
Rfam family: tRNA
About the family: Transfer RNA (tRNA) molecules are approximately 80 nucleotides in length.
Source: Rfam